UGUUUCCUACGGGGCGCAGCAGUGGGGAAUAUUGCACAAUGGGGGAAACCCUGAUGCAGCGACGCCGCGUGAGUGAAGAAGUAUUUCGGUAUGUAAAGCUCUAUCAGCAGGGAAGAAAUAGCGACCUUUGGGUCGCCAGAUGGUACCUGACUAAGAAGCCCCGGCUAACUACGUGCCAGCAGCCGCGGUAAUACGUAGGGGGCAAGCGUUAUCCGGAUUUACUGGGUGUAAAGGGAGCGUAGACGGCAGCACAAGUCUGAAGUGAAAUGCCGGGGCUUAACCCCGGAACUGCUUUGGAAACUGGG
RNAcentral lists this ribosomal RNA (305 nucleotides) under uncultured bacterium. Its description in RNAcentral is "bacterial SSU rRNA". It matches the Rfam family "Bacterial small subunit ribosomal RNA", at positions 333 to 637 of the family's 1533-position model. The record is from RNAcentral.